AGCCAGACUCCUACGGGAGGCAGCAGUGGGGAAUAUUGGGCAAUGGGCGCAAGCCUGACCCAGCAAUGCCGCGUGAAGGAAGAAGGCCUUCGGGUUGUAAACUUCUUUUAUCAGGGACGAAGGAUGUGACGGUACCUGAUGAAUAAGCUCCGGCUAACUCCGUGCCAGCAGCCGCGGUAAUACGGAGGAUGCGAGCGUUAUCCGGAUUUAUUGGGUUUAAAGGGUGCGCAGGCGGCCUGUUAAGUCAGCGGAAAAGGCGGGGGGCCCCGCCCGGGCGAGCCGUUGAAACUGGCGGGCUGGAGUUGGAGAGAAGUACGCGGAAUGCGCGGUGUAGCGGUGAAAUGCUUAGAUAUCGCGCAGAACCCCGAUUGCGAAGGCAGCGUACCGGCGCCCUACUGACGCUCAGGCACGAAAGCGUGGGUAUCGAACAGGAUUAGAUACCCUCGUA
RNAcentral lists this ribosomal RNA (448 nucleotides) under uncultured bacterium. Its description in RNAcentral is "bacterial SSU rRNA". It matches the Rfam family "Bacterial small subunit ribosomal RNA", at positions 329 to 792 of the family's 1533-position model. The record is from RNAcentral.